UACAGAGGUCCCAAGCGUUGUUCGGAUUCACUGGGCGUAAAGGGUGCGUAGGUGGUGAGGUAAGUCGGAUGUGAAAGCUCGGAGCUCAACUCCGAAAUGGCAUUGGAAACUACCUUGCUCGAGGGUUGGAGGGGGGACUGGAAUACUUGGUGUAGCAGUGAAAUGCGUAGAUAUCAAGUGGAACACCAGUGGCGAAGGCGGCUCACUGGCCCGGUACUGACGCUGAGGUGCGAAAGCGUGGGGAGCAAACAGG
RNAcentral lists this ribosomal RNA (253 nucleotides) under uncultured bacterium. Its description in RNAcentral is "partial 16S ribosomal RNA". It matches the Rfam family "Bacterial small subunit ribosomal RNA", at positions 524 to 776 of the family's 1533-position model. The record is from RNAcentral.